Long non-coding RNA from Daphnia pulex (common water flea), 493 nucleotides. RefSeq lists it as uncharacterized. The transcript has 2 exons. NCBI's taxonomy places the organism in Eukaryota, Metazoa, Arthropoda, Branchiopoda, Diplostraca, Daphniidae. The record is from RefSeq and is a predicted model, not a curated record.
UUGCUGAAACAGAAACUGACAGUUAUCACCCAAAAUUUUCUUAAAGUAGCAUUGAGAAAAUUCUUCAAAGAUGUGCAAAGAAAGCGUAUUUAAACUGAGUGGAAAAUUAUCAAAAGCUAUGCUGUCUAGUGUCAGAAAAAAGAAACGUCAAUAGUAACACGUUUACAUGAAAAAAUGUCUGCUCUAGCUCGUUGACACUUGACAGUUGACACUCAAUUGAGAUCACGUACAAACCAAGGCAAUAACUUUGAUACUCACGUUUCAAUGGCCGUUGAUGUUCAGGCUGUUAAUGCAGAUGCUGCCACUUGAGGAGAUGGUGAAAGGUCUGCUUAAAGCUGUUGCUGCUGUCAUUGGUGUCACAAUUCACUGUAUUGUUUGUUAGCAUGUCAAAUUUUCUCCAUCUUUCUGAUCUCAUCCAUGCAGUGUACAAUUGCAAGGCAACUUGAUUUUACAUGAUGUAUGAGUGAUUACAUCGAUAACUGCAACAUCCAAA